GCGUCACAUAUGGCGCAACUUAAUAAGGUAUCAACUUUGCCGUGCUAAGCGGGGAGGUAGCGGUGCCCUGUACUCGCAAUCCGCUCUAGCGAGGCUGAAUCCCUUCCUUAGGCUGCCAUACUGUAGGGCCUGCCUUAAGUAAGUGGUGUUGACGCCCGGGUCCUGCGCAAUGGGAAUCCAUGAACCAUGUCAGGUCCGGAAGGAAGCAGCAUUAAGUGGACGCUCCCAUGUGCCGCAGGGUUGCCUGGGCCGAGCUAACUGCUUAAGUAACGCUUAUGGGUGUCAGUCGACGGAAGGUGCACGGCAGUUAUACAUAAAGCGACAACUCAUCCUGUAUG
This 338-nucleotide signal recognition particle RNA is filed under the name Bacillus methanolicus MGA3. Its description in RNAcentral is "Signal recognition particle RNA (scRNA)". The stretch from base 40 to 304 matches the Rfam family "Bacterial large signal recognition particle RNA". Rfam says of the family: The signal recognition particle (SRP) is a universally conserved ribonucleoprotein involved in the co-translational targeting of proteins to membranes. Archaeal SRP consists of a 7S RNA and homologues of the eukaryotic SRP19 and SRP54 proteins. Lineage: Bacteria; Bacillati; Bacillota; Bacilli; Caryophanales; Bacillaceae. The record is from RNAcentral.